Molecule: ribosomal RNA, 164 nt
Filed under: Deguelia dasycalyx
Lineage: Eukaryota; Viridiplantae; Streptophyta; Magnoliopsida; Fabales; Fabaceae
Also listed under: 1 other name
Description: 5.8S ribosomal RNA
Rfam family: 5.8S ribosomal RNA
About the family: 5.8S ribosomal RNA (5.8S rRNA) is a component of the large subunit of the eukaryotic ribosome.
Source: RNAcentral
AAAAUGACUCUCGGCAACGGAUAUCUCGGCUCUUGCAUCGAUGAAGAACGUAGCGAAAUGCGAUACUUGGUGUGAAUUGCAGAAUCCCGUGAACCAUCGAGUCUUUGAACGCAAGUUGCGCCCGAAGCCAUUAGGCCGAGGGCACGCCUGCCUGGGUGUCACAA